Non-coding RNA from Aeromonas diversa, 169 nucleotides. NCBI's taxonomy places the organism in Bacteria, Pseudomonadati, Pseudomonadota, Gammaproteobacteria, Aeromonadales, Aeromonadaceae. The record is from Rfam.
UAUUGAUCCCCCUCCAAUCCGCCGAGGGUCAGAGCCAACGUCAGGGACGCCAUCAGGGAUGAUGGCGUAGCCGCAGCCGGCACAGGGAUGUGCCGUCUGCGGCGGCCCGUCCAACGUUGGUUCUGAACCGAGGACACUGGCGAAGCCAGCGGAUUGGCGGGGGUAGCCU